RNAcentral lists this long non-coding RNA (803 nucleotides) under Coffea arabica (coffee). Its description in RNAcentral is "long non-coding RNA (CARA_LNC004961)". Lineage: Eukaryota; Viridiplantae; Streptophyta; Magnoliopsida; Gentianales; Rubiaceae. The record is from RNAcentral.
UUUGCCAGUAUGAUCAAGUGAGGCCAUUUUAGUAGAGAAGAUGUGCUUUAAUGUGCCUUACACAUUCAAGAAAGCAAAGAUUAUUGUUAAGAGGGAAAGCUAUAAUGAAGAAGGUGAAGGAAAGGGAUUAUUAGCAAAGGAGAUUGAGAAAUGGAAGAAGCAACAUGGCAUGAUUAUAAUACAAGAAGAGCAUGAUGCUUCCAAGCCCAUCAAACCAUCCCAUGAUAAUAAAUGAUCAUCAUCUUUCUCUUCACUUAUAUCUUUUUCAUUUGGUAACUUGUGUAAGUAGAAACUAUGCCUAAUUUGUGAUGUUUGUUUCUUGUUACCCUCUUUUUUGUGGAUUGGUAUGGGGAUAAUGGUGUGGACAAUUUUUUUAUCAUUUGCCUAUUAUAUGUGAUGGUGGUGUAAUGUUGGCAUAGUUGCACAGUGCUUGAGAGCUUUAUGGCAUAUAAAAAUUAUCCAGUCUUUUCCGUGUUUUUAUUUUUUUGUUUUGAGAUCUUUUGUUGGGAUUCAAAACCUUCUUCCUCUCUCUCCGGUUGACUUGCUAGAGUUUUUUUUUCAAAGAUUUUUUGAAGAAUUUUUUGGUGGGAUUGAUCGUCAAGAAUUGGUUGAUUUCGCCAAUAUACAUGUAGCAGACUCGAGAUUAUGUGUUUUGAACACGUUUCCAUUGUUGAUAAUAUCCAAGUGGAUCAAAGGAUAACUCUUGGCCUUUUUAUUUUACGUCGAUUCGUUAUCCAUAUUGAUUUUAUUCCCGAGUUCAACGUGGGAUUAUGAUUUAUGCCAAUUGCCAAGUUGAUCAAAAU